Molecule: non-coding RNA, 210 nt
Organism: Vicia faba (fava bean)
Lineage: Eukaryota; Viridiplantae; Streptophyta; Magnoliopsida; Fabales; Fabaceae
Source: the annotation of a GenBank genome assembly
AUGGCACCUAGAGCAACAAUGGCACAACAAGCAACAAGAGCACCUAGAGCGACAAUGGCACAACAAGUGGUGGUAGAAGACGUUGAAAAAGAUGUUGAAGAUGAAGAAUUGGAGGAAUAUUUUGAAGAUGAAGACCUCUUUGAUGAUGAUGCUACAUGGUUUCUAUGUUUGCUUGAAUUUUCAUAUAAUAGUAUUAAGUUUGAAUUUUAA